UCCAUCCCUAGACCUUUUUUUAUUUUUCCAGCUUGCCUCUUAAACAUCAGAACAUAUCCAUCCCCUUCUCUUAGCUUUGAACCCCAACCUCUUGCGUAGUCAAUCCGGCAAAGUUUUCCGUCAUCACUCAGGCAAAAGCUAUCGUAUUUCUUUUCCAUUACACAUCCCAACUCACACACAACCUAGGGUAAGUAAUUUAAUAGUAACGACAAAUAGUCACCAUCUUGCUCCUUUAUAAUCUUACCAACUGAUGUGGGAUGCCACAAAGUUCUAUGUGCUUGGGUAAGCUACCAAUUUUAUUUUAUUUGACAAUUUUUUUCCUCUGAAACUUUAUUUGUAAUUGGGUGAAUAAAUUCAUUUAGUUAAUACCUAAUUUGGUACCCUAAAUGUGUUUGUGAAAAAAGAGUUGGGGUUUUUCAUGUAAUUUAUUUGAUUUGGGUUUCACGAGAUGUACUCCAGUGAAGCCAUAUACUUUUAUUUGUGAGUUUGUGGGCUUGAUUACUUUUCGCUCUUACUUAAUUAUUGGCACUACCUAGGCCUAAAAUGUUUGUGGCAUGUUGAAUUGGAUUUUCUUGAAUUUUCAAGGAAAAUCAGUGCUAGAUUUGUUUUUAACAGUAUUACAAUUUCUGUGCUCAGAAGGUGUUUGAAAAUAUUUCACAAUGAACACCUUUGAGUCGAAACAAAUAAAGUUACAAUUAACAGGAAAGCCUAAUUGCAUAUCAACAUGAUCUUUUUUGUUUAGUCAUACGUAAGGCCAAAACAUAAAAAUAAGACUUUUGGAACCAGAAGAUUCUGCUUUAAUAAUAAUGUUUGUGCAAACUUAUCAUAGUGCUUAACAUUUUAAUAUUAACUUCCAAAUAUCUUACUGGUACUAGCUUUUAAAAGAAACCACUUAACAUAUUUAGUUACUAUUUCAACAAUGUUACUUUAUUUAUCAUCUUGGUUAAGAAAUUUUAUAGAUGGUAUGAGAAUAUUUAAGAGAUAUGUCUUGUAUACUUUUAUAAUAGUAUUUGUGUGGAAUAAGCAGUUACUUACUUUUUGUAGGUGUAUAUCAAAUAAUAUGUGGCUUGCAUUGGACAAUAAGAGGUUACUAUUUGC
RNAcentral lists this long non-coding RNA (1098 nucleotides) under Nicotiana tabacum (common tobacco). RNAcentral's name for it is "long non-coding RNA (NTAB_LNC016157)". Lineage: Eukaryota; Viridiplantae; Streptophyta; Magnoliopsida; Solanales; Solanaceae. The record is from RNAcentral.